This 119-nucleotide ribosomal RNA is filed under the name Petromyzon marinus (sea lamprey). The record is from RNAcentral. Lineage: Eukaryota; Metazoa; Chordata; Hyperoartia; Petromyzontiformes; Petromyzontidae.
GGCUACGAACAAAUUACUCAGAAUGCACAUGAUCUCAUCGGAUCUCGAAAGCUAAACAGAGUGUAGCCUGGUUAGUACUGAUAUGGGAGAUGGCUUGGGAAUACCAGGCAUUGUAGGCC